GGAAUUGUUCGCAAUGGGCGAAAGCCUGACGACGCAACGCCGCGUGGAGGCUGAAGAAUUUCGGUUCGUAAACUCCUUUCGACCGAGAUGAACACCCCGCAACUUAAUACGUUGCGGGACUGACAGUAUCGAGAGAAGAAGCCCCGGCUAACUCUGUGCCAGCACCCGCGGUAAUACAGGGGGGGCAAGCGUUGUUCGGAAUUACUGGGCGGAAAGGGUUCGUAGGUGGCCAACUAAGUCAGAUGUGAAAUCCCUCAGCUUAACUGGGGAACUGCUUCUGAUACUGGUUGGCUUGAGUGCAGGAGAGGAAUGCGGAAUUCCAGGUGUAGCGGUGAAAUGCGUAGAUAUCUGGAGGAACACCGGUGGCGAAGGCGGCAUUCUGGACUGUAACUGACACUGAGGAACGAAGGCCAGGGGAGCAAAC
RNAcentral lists this ribosomal RNA (424 nucleotides) under uncultured bacterium. RNAcentral's name for it is "bacterial SSU rRNA". It matches the Rfam family "Bacterial small subunit ribosomal RNA", at positions 358 to 773 of the family's 1533-position model. The record is from RNAcentral.